UACAGAGGGUGCGAGCGUUAAUCGGAUUUACUGGGCGUAAAGGGUGCGUAGGCGGUUAUAUGAGUGUGAUGUGAAAGCCCCGGGCUUAACCUGGGAAGAGCAUUGCAAACGAUAUGACUGGAGUAGUUGAGAGGGUGAUGGAAUUUCCGGUGUAGCGGUGAAAUGCGUAGAGAUGUGGAGGAAUACCGAUGGCGAAGGCAGCCCCCUGGGCCAAUACUGACGCUCAUGCACGAAAGCGUGGGGAGCAAACAGG
RNAcentral lists this ribosomal RNA (253 nucleotides) under uncultured bacterium. RNAcentral describes it as "partial 16S ribosomal RNA". It matches the Rfam family "Bacterial small subunit ribosomal RNA", at positions 524 to 776 of the family's 1533-position model. The record is from RNAcentral.